UACGAAGGGGGCUAGCGUUGCUCGGAAUCACUGGGCGUAAGGGGUGCGUAGGCGGGUCUUUAAGUCAGGGGUGAAAUCCUGGAGCUCAACUCCAGAACUGCCUUUGAUACUGAGGAUCUUGAGUUCGGGAGAGGUGAGUGGAACUGCGAGUGUAGAGGUGAAAUUCGUAGAUAUUCGCAAGAACACCAGUGGCGAAGGCGGCUCACUGGCCCGAUACUGACGCUGAGGCACGAAAGCGUGGGGAGCAAACAGG
RNAcentral lists this ribosomal RNA (253 nucleotides) under uncultured bacterium. Its description in RNAcentral is "partial 16S ribosomal RNA". It matches the Rfam family "Bacterial small subunit ribosomal RNA", at positions 524 to 776 of the family's 1533-position model. The record is from RNAcentral.